Molecule: ribosomal RNA, 393 nt
Filed under: uncultured bacterium
Lineage: Bacteria
Description: partial 16S ribosomal RNA
Rfam family: Bacterial small subunit ribosomal RNA
Source: RNAcentral
AUACGGAGGAUGCAAGCGUUAUCCGGAUUUAUUGGGUUUAAAGGGUGCGUAGGCUGUUCGGAAAGUCAGGGGUGAAAGCCCGGCGCCUAACGCCGGAACUGCCUUUGAUACUUCCGAGCUGGAAUACGGAUGCCGUGGGAGGAAUGAGUAGUGUAGCGGUGAAAUGCAUAGAUAUUACUCAGAACACCGAUUGCGAAGGCAGCUCUCGAAUCCGUCAAUGACGCUGAGGCACGAAAGGGUGGGGAUCAAACAGGAUUAGAUACCCUGUUAGUCCGCGCAGUAAACGAUGAUGACUAACCGUCGGCGAUACACAGUCGGUGGCCAAGCGAAAGCGAUAAGUCAUCCGCCUGGGGAGUACGUUCGCAAGAUUGAAACUCAAAUGAAUUGGCGGGG